UACGUAGGCAGCAAGCGUUGUUCGGAUUGACUGGGCGUAAAGGGCGUGUAGGCGGUUGGUCAAGUCUGAUGUGAAAGCCCGGGGCUCAACCCCGGGUCGGCCGUGGCAACUGUCGAGCUGGAGCACUGUAGAGGCAGGUGGAAUUCCGGGUGUAGCGGUGGAAUGCGUAGAGAUCCGGAAGAACACCGGUGGCGAAGGCGGCCUGCUGGGCAGUGGCUGACGCUGGGGCGCGACAGCGUGGGGAGCAAACAGG
This 253-nucleotide ribosomal RNA is filed under the name uncultured bacterium. RNAcentral's name for it is "partial 16S ribosomal RNA". It matches the Rfam family "Bacterial small subunit ribosomal RNA", at positions 524 to 776 of the family's 1533-position model. The record is from RNAcentral.